GAUGAACGCUGGCGGCGUGCCUAAUACAUGCAAGUCGAGCGAACAGACGAGGAGCUUGCUCCUCCGACGUUAGCGGCGGACGGGUGAGUAACACGUGGAUAACCUACCUAUAAGACUGGGAUAAUUUCGGGAAACCGGAGCUAAUACCGGAUAAUAUAUUGAACCGCAUGGUUCAAUAGUGAAAGACGGUUUUGCUGUCACUUAUAGAUGGAUCCGCGCCGCAUUAGCUAGUUGGUAAGGUAACGGCUUACCAAGGCGACGAUGCGUAGCCGACCUGAGAGGGUGAUCGGCCACACUGGAACUGAGACACGGUCCAGACUCCUACGGGAGGCAGCAGUAGGGAAUCUUCCGCAAUGGGCGAAAGCCUGACGGAGCAACGCCGCGUGAGUGAUGAAGGUCUUCGGAUCGUAAAACUCUGUUAUUAGGAAAGAACAGAUGUGUAAGUAACUAUGCACGUCUUGACGGUACCUAAUCAGAAAGCCACGGCUAACUACGUG
This 497-nucleotide ribosomal RNA is filed under the name uncultured bacterium. Its description in RNAcentral is "partial 16S ribosomal RNA". It matches the Rfam family "Bacterial small subunit ribosomal RNA", at positions 28 to 507 of the family's 1533-position model. The record is from RNAcentral.